RNAcentral lists this ribosomal RNA (423 nucleotides) under uncultured eukaryote. Its description in RNAcentral is "bacterial SSU rRNA". It matches the Rfam family "Eukaryotic small subunit ribosomal RNA", at positions 592 to 1016 of the family's 1831-position model. The record is from RNAcentral.
CAAUAGCGUAUAUUAAAGUUGUUGCGGUUAAAAAGCUCGUAGUUGGAGUUCUGCCAGGUGACGCUCGUCCGCCCAAGUGGUGUGUACAGGGCGUGCAUCUGGCCCUUUCAAGGGGAACGUGUCUGCUCUUUAUUGAGUGGUGCGAGAUCCUUGACUUUUACUUUGAGGAAAUCAGAGUGUUCAAAGCAGGCUAUCGCCUUGAAUAUAUUAGCAUGGAAUAAUGAUAUAGGACUUUGGUUCUAUUUUGUUGGUUGUUCGAGAACCGAAGUAAUGAUUGAUAGGGACAGUUGGGGGGCAUCAGUAUUCUGAAGCGAGAGGUGAAAUUCUUGGACCUUCGGAAGACUAACAGCUGCGAAAGCGUUUGCCUAGGAUGUUCUCUUUAAUCAAGAACGAAAGUUGGGGGAUCGAAGAUGAUCAGAUACC